CGCCCAGACUCCUACGGGAGGCAGCAGUGGGGGAUAUUGCACAAUGGGGGGAACCCUGAUGCAGCGACGCCGCGUGGGUGAAGGAGCGUUUCGGCGCGUAAAGCCCUAUCGGCAGGGAAGAAAAUGACGGUACCUGAAGAAGAAGCCCCGGCUAACUACGUGCCAGCAGCCGCGGUAAUACGGAGGGGGGAAGCGUUAUCCGGAUUUACUGGGUGUAAAGGGGGCGCAGACGGCGAUGCAAGCCAGGAGUGAAAGCCCGGGGCCCAACCCCGGGACUGCUCUUGGAACUGCGUGGCUGGAGUGCAGGAGGGGCAGGCGGAAUUCCUGGUGUAGCGGUGAAAUGCGUAGAUAUCAGGAGGAACACCGGUGGCGAAGGCGGCCUGCUGGACUGCAACUGACGUUGAGGCCCGAAAGCGUGGGGAGCAAACAGGAUUAGAUACCCUGGUAAA
This 449-nucleotide ribosomal RNA is filed under the name uncultured bacterium. RNAcentral describes it as "partial 16S ribosomal RNA". It matches the Rfam family "Bacterial small subunit ribosomal RNA", at positions 328 to 794 of the family's 1533-position model. The record is from RNAcentral.